Hipposideros armiger (great roundleaf bat) is the source of this 2664-nucleotide long non-coding RNA. RefSeq lists it as uncharacterized. The record is from RefSeq and is a predicted model, not a curated record. NCBI's taxonomy places the organism in Eukaryota, Metazoa, Chordata, Mammalia, Chiroptera, Hipposideridae. The transcript is spliced from 4 exons.
UCUCUAUUGAAACACCUCGCUCAGGCUAGCGCACUAAGAGCUCGCAUUUCCCCCCUUGCUCGGAAUGGUGCGACAGGAGGUUGCAGCCCUGCUCCUCUUCCAAUGGAUGAGGAAACUGAGGCUUGUGACAGAACUGAUUUUCAAACCCAAGUCUUCUGAGCUCUUUUCUGUCAUAAGUUUACAAUCUCUCUUAACUUCAAUAAAAGUAAAAAGAAUGAAAAAAUGCUAGGCACACAGUGCUGCUGUCUGGUUGCCAUGGCGACCACAGCCUAUUAUCCUGCCUUGUCAUUCAUCAAGAAAGAAUUGCACUUGACAGAGGGAGAGGAAAAUGCCUGCAGUCUGCAACAUAGAAGGAAAAAAGGUUUUCUUUUCUUCUAUGUAUGUAAAAGAUCUUUAAUGCCCGUUUAGUUACAUGUUUUAUUUGGCAUUAUUUAUUACUUGUAAUGACAAUAAUUGAUACCUGUAAAAAUGUAUCCCCUCCCCUCAAAGUAUUUAACUUGCAAUUUGUUUAUUUGCUUUGCUUUCCCAUUUCAAACCUAUACCUAGUAUUGCACCCCCACCUCCCUACCACAGAUGUUGCUUCCAUUCCAGUAGCAGGAACAGCCAAAAGAUUAUAUUCUCCACAGAGAAUGAUCAUGAUAAAGUGAUCAGAGAGAAGCUGGACAAUAAUGACACUUCAUCUUGAGUUGGUAAAAGACCAGCAUUUAGCAUAAAUGAUUUGUUGCAAUUAAGCCAUUCCCCCUUGAGUGUAACUGGGCAACUAGGUUGAGCAAAAAUGGACUUCUGAAGUUCAAUUUCUAUUUUUGUCUGAGGACAUCUUACUUACUAGAGGUCAAACUUCACUAGCACACACAGAGAUACUGAAAUCAUAUUUCUACAUUGUAAGUGAAACAGAGCAUUGGAUAAUUAUCUGGUCAGUUUUGGUUUUGAGAUGGUUCAAAUUCUAACCUUCCCACCACUUCCUUAAUUAUAUGGAUAAUUUUGGAAAGAGGAGGUUUGGGGAUGGAGAGGAUAAUUCUAAAAGAAUUAAAUAAUUACAGCUGUCAGGAACUCAGUCUAUUAGAUAUUCCUACAUAAUAACUCAAAAUCUCUUGAUUUUCACUGGAUCUAAGAUAUGUCCCAUUAAUGCAGACUUCCCAGCAUCCUUUAUACACCCUGGCCAUGUAAAAAUGUAGGAACAAUGGAAUGUUUUUCUUUAAUCUUGACAUUUGGGGGAGCAAAAGGAAACAACAAAAAGGAAAAAAGACACAUUGAGUUCAGAAUUAUGGCUUUUCCUAUUGGUUCUAAACUUUUACUUUAACAUUGCAGCAACACCACUGUUCAUUUCCUGUUAAACUUCAAGCCUACCUUACCUUUUGAUUUUCGAAUGUCCCUUAGGCUAAUGUUUUCACUGAAGAAUGAAAAUGAACAGGCAGAAACAAUUAAGCGAGCAGAUACAGUGAAAGCGAACACCACACUGCACUUUCACAGAAAUGAAAGUGUAUGAAGGAAUUCUGCUUGGAAUUUGAUCCUACAGCAGCAAAGCUUUUGCCUCUUGUCAUUUUUCUUUUGCCCACCCCCAAUACACAUCACUUCCCCUAUGGUUGGGGGCUGGGGGGGGGUGGAAAUCUAGGCACACAAAGGAACUCAUAAAUACUCACAGGCAUGGGAAAUAUUUUCUCUGCCUGUUACUAAUACAGGAUAAUCUCCAAGAAAAAAAAUUCAUCUACGAUAGAUAUUCUAAACGGCAAAUGUCUCCCAAAGUCUGUUAAAUGUUCAUAUACGUCUUUAUGAAAUUUGUAAUAUGGACUGUUUAUACACUCCUGAUUAAGGGCUUGAGUAUUUUUAAAAGGAUCAAUUCAGUUUAAAGAUCUAAAAUUAUAAAAUCAGAUAAAACUGUAACCUACAAGAAAAAGUGUGUUUUCAAAUAACCUAUGGCUCUAUAUAAAAAGAUAACUCAACAGCCAAAAGUGAGCUGUUAAAGAGCCUUCUAAGUUCUAUCAGGAAUUAACAAGGAAGUAAUUAACUCUACCUCAAACAAAUCUGCCAUCACAUGUUUAUAACAUUUUUGUCACUCUAUGAAAUCUUUAUCUUCUUUUUUUUAGUACCAAACUGAGAUAUUUUAGGUGGCAGGAGCUUGGCAUUCCUACUUUCGGAUUUACUUUGUUAAAACAGAACUAAAUCAUACAUUGCAAUAUAGAAGAGACUGGUUACAAUUUAGCAAGGUAGGGUGCUGAGAAUGAGAUAUCAUUGUAUGCAUUUUAGAAGACUCUAUAUUAUUAUCUAGCAUAAGAGUUACAUGAUAGUUUCAAGGUUGAUUCCCAUUUAAAUUCAAAAUUAAUUUUUAAGAUAGUAUGCAAUGGGAAAUUGCUGUGUGAGAGGAUCAGAAUACCAAAAACACACACAAAGUUGAAAGCUUGUGGAUAUCCAUAUAAGUAAAACAAUACCUCAGUAAUGAAUCUGGAAGAUGGAGGGCAUUCAUAAGAUUAUGUUGAGUGGAAGGCAUGGUUUUGUUUUUUAUUACAUUUAUCCCUUAGUAUUUUCUCAAUAAAACACCUUUCACAAACCAGGGGCUUUGUAUCUUUGUUGUUGGUAUAGAGUUUUUUGUUGUUUUUCUUUAAUACCAGUAUAAUAGUUUUACUUUGCAGUAAUGAGGAUUCAAAGACAGCUGCUAGCAAACAUAAA